Molecule: ribosomal RNA, 495 nt
Filed under: uncultured bacterium
Lineage: Bacteria
Description: partial 16S ribosomal RNA
Rfam family: Bacterial small subunit ribosomal RNA
Source: RNAcentral
GAUGAACGCUGGCGGCGUGCCUAAUACAUGCAAGUAGAACGCUGAAGGAGGAGCUUGCUCUUCUGGAUGAGUUGCGAACGGGUGAGUAACGCGUAGGUAACCUGCCUGGUAGCGGGGGAUAACUAUUGGAAACGAUAGCUAAUACCGCAUGACAACAGUUAUUGCAUGAUAACUGUUUAAAAGGGGCAACUGCUCCACUACCAGAUGCACCUGCGUUGUAUUAGCUAGUUGGUGAGGUAACGGCUCACCAAGGCGACGAUACAUAGCCGACCUGAGAGGGUGAGCGGCCACACUGGGACUGAGACACGGCCCAGAAUCCUACGGGAGGCAGCAGUAGGGAAUCUUCGGGAAUGGACGGAAGGCUGAACGAGCAACGCCGGGUGAGUGAAGAAGGGUGUCGGAUCGGAAAGCUCUGUUGUAAGAGAAGAACGAGAGUGAGAGUGGAAAGUGCACACUGUGACGGUAUCUGAACAGAAAGGGACGGCUAACUACGUG